Non-coding RNA from Thiocapsa sp. KS1, 142 nucleotides. NCBI's taxonomy places the organism in Bacteria, Pseudomonadati, Pseudomonadota, Gammaproteobacteria, Chromatiales, Chromatiaceae. The record is from Rfam.
AGACUCCCGCCUGGGUAAUCGCUAGCCACGAGCCCAGUAUCGAGCCUUGCGGCGCAACUCGUAACAGGCGCGCCGAUGCGUAGACAUGACAACACGGAUAGGAAAAGGGACUGAGCCGCGAGUCUGGGGCUGGCGGAGGGCG